GACUGUUUACCAAAAACAUAGCCCUAGUUAUAAUCUAAGGUGUAACCUGCCCAAUGAUUUUCAAUAAAUAUAUUUAGAUUAUAUAAAAGAGAAUUUAAAGGACGCGGUAACCUUGACCGUGAUAAUGUAGCAUAAUCAUUCGCCAUUUAAUUGAUGGAUAGUAUGAAUGGUUGAACGAAUAUUUCACUGUCUUAAAAAGAAACCCCCAAAAAUUAGAGUAAUAGUAAAGAUACUAUUUGAAAUUGUAAGACGAAAAGACCCUAUAGAGCUUAACUACAAUCUUUAUUGAAAGUGUUUGAUACAAUUAACCAAAUAUAAAGACCGGUAGUUUAGUUGGGGCGACUAUCUUUUAAAUAUAACAAAGAUAAGCAAAAUAAAUAGAAAAUUAUUUAUUGUAUAAUUAAUAAAUUUAACAAUUACAAGAGUAGGCUAUAAUGACCCGUUAUAAUUACAUAAGAGAAAUAACGAUCAAUAGAUAAAAGCUACCUUAGGGAUAACAGGAUAAUUUUAUUCUAGAGAUCUAAUCGAAAAUAAAGUUUGUCACCUCUAUGUUGAAUUAAGGUAACCUGAUAAUGCAGCA
Molecule: ribosomal RNA, 580 nt
Filed under: Synthecium marginatum
Lineage: Eukaryota; Metazoa; Cnidaria; Hydrozoa; Leptothecata; Syntheciidae
Description: partial large subunit ribosomal RNA
Rfam family: Bacterial large subunit ribosomal RNA
Source: RNAcentral